GGAUAAGAAAGCAGAUCGCAUGAUCAGCUUUUAAAAAAGGCGGCGUAAGCUGUCGCUAUGGGAUGGCCCGCGGUGCAUUAGCUAGUUGGUAAGGUAAAGGCUUACCAAGGCGAUGAUGCAUAGCCCGAGUUGAGAGACUGAUCGGGCCACAUUGGGGACUGAGACACGGGGCCCAAACUCCUACGGGGGGAGGGGCAGCAGUAGGGGGAAUCUUCCACAAUGGACGCAAGUCUGAUGGAGCAACGCCGCGUGAGUGAAGUAAGGUUUUCGGAUCGUAAAGCUCUGUUGUUGGUGAAGAAGGAUAGAGGUAGUAACUGGCCUUUAUUUGACGGUAAUCAACCAGAAAGUCACGGCUAACUACGUGCCAGCAGCCGCGGUAAU
This 381-nucleotide ribosomal RNA is filed under the name uncultured Lactobacillus sp. RNAcentral describes it as "bacterial SSU rRNA". It matches the Rfam family "Bacterial small subunit ribosomal RNA", at positions 171 to 524 of the family's 1533-position model. The record is from RNAcentral. Lineage: Bacteria; Bacillati; Bacillota; Bacilli; Lactobacillales; Lactobacillaceae.